This 301-nucleotide ribosomal RNA is filed under the name uncultured bacterium. RNAcentral describes it as "partial 16S ribosomal RNA". It matches the Rfam family "Bacterial small subunit ribosomal RNA", at positions 509 to 807 of the family's 1533-position model. The record is from RNAcentral.
CAGCAGCCGCGGGAAUACGUAGGGUGCGAGCGUUAAUCGGAAUUACUGGGCGUAAAGCGUGCGCAGGCGGCUUUGUAAGACAGGCGUGAAAUCCCCGGGCUCAACCUGGGAAUGGCGCUUGUGACUGCAAAGCUAGAGUGCGGCAGAGGGGGAUGGAAUUCCGCGUGUAGCAGUGAAAUGCGUAGAUAUGCGGAGGAACACCGAUGGCGAAGGCAAUCCCCUGGGCCUGCACUGACGCUCAUGCACGAAAGCGUGGGGAGCAAACAGGAUUAGAUACCCCCGUAGUCCCUGUCUCUUAUAC